RNAcentral lists this ribosomal RNA (270 nucleotides) under uncultured bacterium. RNAcentral describes it as "partial 16S ribosomal RNA". It matches the Rfam family "Bacterial small subunit ribosomal RNA", at positions 28 to 297 of the family's 1533-position model. The record is from RNAcentral.
GAUGAACGCUAGCGGCAGGCUUAAUACAUGCAAGUCGAACGGUAAGUUUGGUAGCAAUAUCAAACCAAGAGUGACGUACGGGUGCGUAACACGUAUGCAACCUACCUUGUACAGGAGUAUAGCUCGGGGAAACUCGAAUUAACCCUCCAUGAGAUCAUAGAAUGGCAUCAUUUAGUGAUUAAAACUCAGGUGGUACAAGAUGGGCAUGCGUCUGAUUAGAGUUGGCGGGGUAAUGGCCCACCAAGACGAUGAUCAGUAGGGGACCUGAGA